RNAcentral lists this ribosomal RNA (621 nucleotides) under uncultured bacterium. RNAcentral's name for it is "bacterial SSU rRNA". It matches the Rfam family "Bacterial small subunit ribosomal RNA", at positions 338 to 1331 of the family's 1533-position model. The record is from RNAcentral.
CCUACGGGAGGCAGCAGUGGGGAAUUUUGGACAAUGGGCGCAAGCCUGAUCCAGCAAUGCCGCGUGAGUGAAGAAGGCCUUCGGGUUGUAAAGCUCUUUUGUCAGGGAAGAAACGGUUGGGGCUAAUAUCCUCAGCUAAUGACGGUACCUGAAGAAUAAGCACCGGCUAACUACGUGCCAGCAGCCGCGGUAAUACGUAGGGUGCAAGCGUUAAUCGGAAUUACUGGGCGUAAAGCGUGCGCAGGCGGUUUUGUAAGUCUGUCGUGAAAGCCCCGGGCUUAACCUGGGAAUUGCGAUGGAGACUGCAAGGCUUGAAUCUGGCAGAGGGGGGUAGAAUUCCACGUGUAGCAGUGAAAUGCGUAGAGAUGUGGAGGAACACCGAUGGCGAAGGCAGCCCCCUGGGUCAAGAUUGACGCUCAUGCACGAAAGCGUGGGGAGCAAACAGGAUUAGAUACCCUGGUAGUCCACGCCCUAAACGAUGUCUACUAGUUGUCGGGUCUUAAUUGACUUGGUAACGCAGCUAACGCGUGAAGUAGACCGCCUGGGGAGUAACGGUCGCAAGNUUAAAACUUAAAGUUAGUAGUUGCGNGNGAGAGCGACGACGACGACGAGGAGGAGGAG